Molecule: RNA transcript, 2565 nt
Organism: Hemibagrus wyckioides
Lineage: Eukaryota; Metazoa; Chordata; Actinopteri; Siluriformes; Bagridae
Gene name: Fc receptor-like protein 5
Exons: 4
Source: RefSeq, a predicted model, not a curated record
GUUCUCCAGAACCAGACUACAGGAGAGAUGAUCAUCCAGACUGUCUCAAAGUCAGAUGAAGGUUUCUACCACUGUAAACACCCAGAGAGAGGAGAAUCACUGAAAAGCUGGCUCUUAUUCAGAUUCUCAGGUUCUACAUCCAGUGGUUUAACAGUAGGACUGGUUGUGGGUUUGGGAUUUUUGUUUAUCGCUUUUCUGAUCUUAAUGAUCCUGCUGUGGUUCUGCAAAAGAAAAAAAGGUCUGAGAACUGAUUUAGCUAUGCUAUGUAGAAUAUAACCAGAAAUAUUAAAGAGUGUUGCAUUUUGAUUUUUUUUUAUCCAUGAUGACAUUAAAGUCAUCUGUUGCUGCUUCUGUCGUUUCAUCGCUGACCAUGCCGCAACUGCGAUACCUGUUCAUUAUACCUUUCAGUGAGCUAGUUUUAGAGUGUGCACUCUCUACAUUUUCAAAUGCUGAAUGAUAAAAGAAGCUAAAAUUAAACCCAGAGUUUAUAGAUCUACUCUAAAAAAGCAGCUAGAUGUCAGUGUAGUUUUUUCUGCAGGAGACUGAUAAUGACUGAUGUUUAUAUUGAUGAGUUAUGACUGAUGUAUAAAAAAGCUAAAGAUCAUUGGAUGGUUUUGUUCUCAGCUACUGCAGGUGCUGAUGCUGAUGUGACUUAUGCUGAGAUUGAACUAAAACCAACAAAAAAAGCAAAGAGAAUAAAAGAAAAGGCCAGUGUGGCUGAUGAUACUGUCUAUUCAGCGGUGAAGCACAACAUGGAGUGAGCCAUGUGUCUGUUCUGAUGAAGCUCCAGUUAUCCAACAGAUGGAAGGAAAACCUAUAGACAGAUAGAUAGAUAGAUAGAUAGAUAGAUAGAUAGAUAGAUAGAUAGAUAGAUAGAUAGAUAGAUAGAUAGAUAGAUAGAUAGAUAGAUAGAUAGAUCACUUUAAUAAUCUCAAGGGAAAAUUCACACAUUACAGCAGCAUCAAAAGAAUAGCAUAUGCAGUAAGAAAUUAUCAAGAGUAAUAAAAUAAAUAUGUGAAAUGUAUUGUCCAGGAUGGACAUUAGUUUGUUUAGUGUCUUCUUUCCCACAACCACAUCAAAACAGUUGAGGGAGCAUCCCAGUACAGAGCCAGUCUUCUUUAUCAGUUUGUUGAGCUGGAAAGAAGACAGCACUCGCAACAUCAGACGUAGAAGAUCUUCAACAUCUUACUGCAAACAUUAAAGCAUCUGAGCUUCCUCAGAAAGUAGUCUACUCAUCCCCUACCUGUACACAGCAGUAGAGUCUACUCAUCCCCUUCCUGUACACAGCAAUAGAGUCUACUCAUCCCCUUCCUGUACACAGCAGUAGAGUCUACUCAUCCCCUUCCUGUACACAGCAGUAGAGUCUACUCAUCCCCUUCCUGUACACAGCAAUAGAGUCUACUCAUCCCCUUCCUGUACACAGCAGUAGAGUCUACUCAUCCCCUUCUUGUACACAGAAGUAGAGUCUACUCAUCCCCUCCCUGAACACAGUUCUCUGAGCGAUCCUCUCAUGCUGUUGCUCUGAGGCUGAGUGUUUUGGUGGAUUUGGGGGAGAUUCUGCUCCUUCUUGUACUUCUUUAUUGUACAUCACUGUAUAUCGUAAUAGUGUUUCUAUGUUUUUCAGUAAUGACAAACAAAAAACAGCAAGAGGGAACAAAUUUAUUUGAUGAAUUUCCUCUGGUGUUCUUAGACCUCAGUUUAUCCUGAUAUCAACACAGAAGAGUUUGCUGUGAUUAAACCAGGAAUCCAACAAUUUGGGAAUAUUUCAGUUUUAGACUGCUGGGUGGAAGAAGGGAAAAAACAGUGACUGAGGCCUCUGUGGAGUCCCAACUGUAUAAGUAGUGGAUGAGUGGAUACUGGAUAGUAAUCCCAGCUGCAUUAUGGACUGUAUAAAGACUGAAAACAUGAAAUGUCCUUAAACAAUUACUGAACAAAAUACUGCAUUUAUAAAUACGUUGGUUUCAUGCACGUGUCACUUCCGGCAACACUGCACGAGCUCCCAGCGCCAUCUAGCGGCUGUGUGCGGGACAACAUUAACAUCUCAGCUAUUUAAAUAAGUUUGAUAAAAUAUUCCUUUUCCACCUGCUGGUCUAUAGAUACAGAAAACCUGAGACAUGUCUUUGUAAUAGAGAGAUCGGUGGAUGUCUGGAACUGUGUUUACAGUGUGUUACUAUUGAUGUUUAAAGUAAAGAAGAGAGAACAUUUAUUUAUUAUUCUAAACAUCAACAUAAAUCAGAUUUGAACAUAAAGUAUCAUCUGAUUUAAAUGAAAGUUAUGUGAUUAUUAAAGUUAAAUAUAUCGAUCAGAACUGAGUAAUUUUAAUGGUUGGUAUUUUGUGUGGUCAAGCAUGAAAUAUUAUUUCAGGAAAGCACAGCUGUAUAUAGGAUUUAUCUCCUUCCUGAUACUGACUUAUGACUGAUAACUGAUUUAAUCUCUGUGGUAUUAUUAGCAUUAGAAACUAUUUGCCCUGUUUGCCCUCAUAUUUAUUUCUAUAAUCAUUUAUUUCCAGCACACUAUAAACGCAUGGCUUAGAAUAAACAAUAAACAAUAAGUAGUUUAAAGAAA